GUAACAAGGUUUCCGUAGGUGAACCUGCGGAAGGAUCAUUAUUGAAUGAACUUGGUGUGGUUGUUGCUGGCCCUUUCGGGGGCAUGUGCACACCCAUCAUCCUCAUCUCUCCACCUGUGCACCUCUUGUAGACUUGGAUUGACUUUCCGAGGCAACUCGGUCGGGAGGACUUGCUGGCAUUAGCUGGCUUUCCUUGCAUUUCCAAGUCUAUGUUUUUUCAUAUACCCCAUUGAAUGUAACAGAAUGUAACAUAUUGGGCCUUUGUGCCUAUAAAAACUUAUACAACUUUCAGCAACGGAUCUCUUGGCUCUCGCAUCGAUGAAGAACGCAGCGAAAUGCGAUAAGUAAUGUGAAUUGCAGAAUUCAGUGAAUCAUCGAAUCUUUGAACGCACCUUGCGCUCCUUGGUAUUCCGAGGAGCAUGCCUGUUUGAGUGUCAUUAAAUUCUCAACUAUUAUCAACUUUUGCUGAUGAUGGCUUGGAUAUGGGGGUUUAUUUUGCUGGCUUCUUCACAGAUUGUCAGCUCCCCUUAAAUGCAUUAGCCGGUGCCCCGCGUGGACUGUCUAUUGGUGUGAUAAUUAUCUACGCCGUGGACAUCUACAAUCAUAUGGGUUUGCACUGCUUCCAACCGUCUGUUUACUCAGACAAUACAUGACAAUUUGACCUCAAAUCAGGUAGGACUACCCGCUGAACUUAAGCAU
This 699-nucleotide ribosomal RNA is filed under the name uncultured Hebeloma. RNAcentral's name for it is "eukaryotic LSU rRNA". The stretch from base 284 to 437 matches the Rfam family "5.8S ribosomal RNA". The record is from RNAcentral. Lineage: Eukaryota; Fungi; Basidiomycota; Agaricomycetes; Agaricales; Cortinariaceae.